Molecule: long non-coding RNA, 1023 nt
Filed under: Dromaius novaehollandiae (emu)
Lineage: Eukaryota; Metazoa; Chordata; Aves; Casuariiformes; Dromaiidae
Description: lncRNA (ENSDNVG00000008535.1)
Source: RNAcentral
AGGCCUCACCUGCGGCGGGGGUGGAGCUGCAGCUGCGGCUCGCCGCGGGGGGAGGGGGGAAGCCGUUUAAAAUGGCGGCGCGCGGCGCCCUGAGGAUUCGAUAAUGGCGGGUGACCGUUACAAGUAGCUGCACCCUUGUCCCCCACCCUGGGCUGUGCUGUGCUGCGCUGCUGGUGGCUGCCGCCCCGCCGUGGUGAGGCAAGGCCCRGUGUUCCCGGGUCGGCUAGAAGCACACACCCAGCCCGGCGGGGUUUGGACGCCCCCACAGUGUGUUCGCUCUUUAAGACUUUCACUCGUUAAGUGUUUCCUGAGAAGGAUGUAGGAAGCUGCGAGUCAGAGAAGCUGCACCAGAGUCACCGUUUUUUUAAGGGACUAAAAUGGACUCGUAGAUGUGAUAUUUUUCUCGAAAGAAAAUGAGAAGGAUGGCCCCUUUAGUUUAACACUGCUGUGGCAAAUAAGUGAACCUCCCUUGAUGGCUGCAAAUACUUCUGAAGCAAUAGGAAGAAGGUCGGGGUAACAAAUGUGCUCCGAGUGUUUGGAAUGAGAUUUUAGUCUGAGAUCCUUUUUUUUCUUUUUUUUAAUGACUGCUCUUUUGAUCGCAACAAUUUUUUUUCAUGAAACUGUAGUCUUUUCACAGAAACAUAAUACCUUUUCUCAUUCUUGAAAUAUCCUUUAACACUUCUAUAAAGAACAAUUAUUAAUAACUCUAGCCCAUCACAGCGUGCUGAAAUGCGAGUUGAAAGUGCUGCGCCAUCCAUGGGGCUUGUAGUGUCCUGGCCCACUUUCACCCUGUUCAUCUGAAAGGUAUAGCAAGAGGCCCGUAUCACUGUCACUCCAUUUAGAAGAACAAAAGGAAGAGGAUUUUUUUGUCACUCACAUGCUGCAGACACAGGAAUACAGUUCUUCCAUUAAGUGUCCUGUAGGAGUUCCUGUGGAGAACUCUACUUCCUCCGAAUCCUCAGAGUACCAGAGGUCACUUCCUUAAUUGGAGCCUUCUCUUCCAUCAGGUAUUAAAAAGUCAGU